GACGAACGCUGGCGGCGUGCUUAACACAUGCAAGUCGAACGGAAAGGCCCUGCUCUUGCGGGGUGCUCGAGUGGCGAACGGGGGAGUAACACGUGAGUAACCUGUCCCUGACUUUGGGAUAACUCCAGGAAACUGGGGCUAAUACCGGAUAGGAGCUCUUGCUGCACGGGGGGGGUUGGAAAGUUUCGGCGGUUGGGGAUGGACUCGCAGCUUAUCAGCUUGUUGGUGAGGUAGUGGCUUACCAAGGCUUUGACGGGUAGCCGGCAUGGGAGGGUGACCGGCCACAUUGGGACUGAGAUACGGCCCAGACUCCUACGGGCGGCAGCAGUGGGGAAUAUUGCACAAUGGGCGGAAGCCUGAUGCAGCAACGCCGCGUGCGGGAUGACGGCCUUCGGGUUGUGAACCGCUUUCGCCUGUGACGAGGCGUGAGUGACGGUAAUGGGUAAAGAAGCACCGGCUAACUACGUG
RNAcentral lists this ribosomal RNA (468 nucleotides) under uncultured bacterium. RNAcentral describes it as "partial 16S ribosomal RNA". It matches the Rfam family "Bacterial small subunit ribosomal RNA", at positions 28 to 507 of the family's 1533-position model. The record is from RNAcentral.